AGCGGAUGCGCAGGGACCCCGGGCAGCUGUCUCCCGCCCCGCGGUCCGAGCCCGGCGCAUCUUCCCUACGCGGCGGGGAAACUGAGGCCCAGGGACGGGAGGGAGGACCCCACGUCGCACAGCCUGCUUUCCCAGGGCCGUAGUUCAGCAGCAUCCGAUAACAAUGAUAAGCAUUGUAACAAGUGUUGUACUGUAUUAUUUUGUGUGACAACAAUGGUAACAAGUCACUUGCACACCAUGCCUUGGCUCUGGAUCAGCGACACAGGCGCAGGACCGGUGGCUGUGCUCUGAGCCAAGGCCCAGCCCAGCGCAAGGCCAGGCCGCGGCAGGAGGAGCCUGCAGGCCGCCCAGCCCCUCGGCCCCUGCCCUGAGAGGAAGCGCCCACGAGUAAACACAGCCUCAACGUCCAGCCCAGCGGGUCUGUCGCAGUCCACGCCGGCCAGAUUGCAGUCGCCACAGCGCUCUCCCUUCCUGGGAGGAUGAGUGAGCUUCGCCUCCAGGGGAGAUGUCAGUUUCUUCAGGCUUUGGAGCCAGAGGAAGUGACCGCUUACUUUGGCCCUGACGCUGCCUCCGAAGGUACUUGUCCUGGCGUCUUCCUUGCGAGGGGAGUUUCUCAGAGCCUGCAGGGGGCAUCUCACCCUUGGGUCAGGGACCUCGGCUUUUCAGUGGCUCAGCUGAGAGGAGGUCAGCUGCUGCUGUCACCCUGUUAAUUAGUUCCGUUACUUCCUGCCAAGUCGAUAAAAACUGGUCUGGGUGUCCUGGGCCGGGCUGGGGUCGUGACCUGGGAUUCUGCUCAAUAUCUCAAGGGAAUGGGCACUAAUUAGUUGGUCU
Molecule: long non-coding RNA, 831 nt
Filed under: Balaenoptera musculus (blue whale)
Lineage: Eukaryota; Metazoa; Chordata; Mammalia; Artiodactyla; Balaenopteridae
Description: lncRNA (ENSBMSG00010004709.1)
Source: RNAcentral